AAUUUGGGACAAUGGGGGAAACGCUGAUCCAGCAAUGCCGCGUGCAGGCUGAAUGNCUNNGGGUUNUNAACUGCUUUUGUACGNNNNNGAAAGUCUUGGGCUAAUACCCGGGGCUCAUGACUGUACCGUAAGAAUAAGCAUCUGCUAACUACCGUCCAGCAGCCGCGGUAAUACGUAGAGUGCAAGCGUUAAUCGGAAUUACUGGGCGUAAAGCGUGCGCAGGCGGUUUUGUAAGACAGUGGUGAAAUCCCCGGGCUCAACCUGGGAACUGCCAUUGUGACUGCAAGGCUGGAGUGCGGCAGAGGGGGAUGGAAUUCCGCGUGUAGCAGUGAAAUGCGUAGAUAUGCGGAGGAACACCGAUGGCGAAGGCAAUCCCCUGGGCCUGCACUGACGCUCAUGCACGAAAGCGUGGGGAGCAAACAGG
RNAcentral lists this ribosomal RNA (424 nucleotides) under uncultured bacterium. RNAcentral's name for it is "partial 16S ribosomal RNA". It matches the Rfam family "Bacterial small subunit ribosomal RNA", at positions 360 to 776 of the family's 1533-position model. The record is from RNAcentral.